Pelobates cultripes (western spadefoot toad) is the source of this 314-nucleotide non-coding RNA. Lineage: Eukaryota; Metazoa; Chordata; Amphibia; Anura; Pelobatidae. The record is from the annotation of a GenBank genome assembly.
AAAGGACACGGAGGCUCAUAUUAUGCUUAUCUCUUUCUUUAUUAUACCUCAGCAGCAAAGAGAAGGUAUAAACAUUCAUAGAAAAAAAGUUUAACAGGUUCUCCAAGGGUUAACCCAACCCUUAACCAAUAGGAACAGUCCCUCUAUCUAUAACUAUUCAUGUGACCUUUCCUCUUCCUCUUUCUUUGCUGCUGCCUCAGCUAAGUACCAUCUAUUUUUAGCUCUCCUCAGAGCACCCUCUUUGAAUUAGUAUUGUAUUGUAUUGUUUUAUUUUAUGUGUCUUUAAGAUUUUAUGUCCUAGGUAUUUGUGUGGG